Molecule: long non-coding RNA, 413 nt
Filed under: Homo sapiens (human)
Lineage: Eukaryota; Metazoa; Chordata; Mammalia; Primates; Hominidae
Description: non-protein coding lnc-GRTP1-2:2
Source: RNAcentral
GAGAGUAGUGACCAUCUGUUACAUUUUGAUUGUUCUGUCUUCUUUCAAAGUAGGGGAAAAUGAAUUUUCCCCUGUGUGGCAUUCAGUGUAUUGUUGUAGGUUCUAUUCGAACAGAAUAUUUUAUUUUCUACUUAGGUUUCCCUUUCAAAUGUUUCAGGUGUACGAAGCCAUCGACAGCAGAGAUGGAGCAUCUUGUGCAGAGUUGGUGUCUUUUAAACAUCCUCAUGUUGCAAACCCACGACUUCAAAUGGCCUCUCCAGAGGAGAAGUGUCAACAAGUCUUGGAACCCCCUUAUGAUGAAAUGUUUGCAGCUCAUUUAAGGUGCACUUAUGCAGUGGGGAAUCAUGACUUCAUAGAGGCAUACAAGUGCCAGACCGUGAUAGUCCAAUCAUUCUUGCGAGCAUUCCAGGCCC